UUAGGCAUGCAAGUCGAACGGUAUAAACCUUCGGGGUUAGAGAGUGGCGAACGGGUGAGUAACACGUAGGUAAUCUACCCUCAAAACGGGGACAACCCAGGGAAACUUGGGCUAAUACCGGAUGCGUGCAAGCAAUGUUUGGCUGUUAAUGCUAUUCACGGAAGUGAGUAGUGUUAAUGGUUGAGAGCAUUAUUUGCAUAAAAGGUGGCAUAUGCUGCCGUUUGAGGAUGAGCCUGCGUCCUAUUAGUUAGUUGGUGAGGUAAUGGCUUACCAAGGCGAUGAUAGGUAGGCGGCCUUAACGGGUGGUCGCCCACACUGGGAUUGAGAGACGGCCCAGACUCCUACGGGAGGCAGCAGUCGAGAAUAGUCUACAAUGGACGGAAGUCUGAUAGUGCGACGCCGCGUGAACGAAGAAUCCCUUCGGGGUGUAAAGUUCUUUUAUACGUGAGCAGUGCCCUUUAUAUGAAUAGUAUAGAGGGAGGGAUUUAAGCGUAUGAAUAAGCAACGGCUAACUCCGUG
Molecule: ribosomal RNA, 519 nt
Filed under: uncultured bacterium
Lineage: Bacteria
Description: bacterial SSU rRNA
Rfam family: Bacterial small subunit ribosomal RNA
Source: RNAcentral